CUCUUCCUGUGUGAGGUAGGGUCGUACUCUACGGAUGUUCCUCUUCCUGUGUGAGGGAGGGUCGUACUCUACGGAUGUUCCUCUUCCUGUGUGAGGUAGGGUCUCUUCCUGUGUGAGGUAGGGUUGUACUCUACAGAUGUUCCUCUUCCUGUGUGAGGUAGGGUCGUACUCUACGGAUGUUCCUCUUCCUGUGUGAGGUAGGGUCGUACUCUACAGAUGUUGUAGAGCAUGUUUGCAGAGAACAACAGGGUGUUGUCCAGGGUCACGCCAAGGUUCUUUGCUCUCUAGGAGGACGACACUGUGGAGUUGUCAACUGUGAUGGAGAGGUCUUUGAGCGGGCAGGUCUUCCCCAGGAGGAAGAACAGUUCCGACUUGUUGAGGUUGAGGUGGAGGGCCGACAUCCAAGCUGAGAUAUUUGCCAGGCACCAGAGAUGCGUGUC
Molecule: long non-coding RNA, 440 nt
Organism: Oncorhynchus tshawytscha (Chinook salmon)
Lineage: Eukaryota; Metazoa; Chordata; Actinopteri; Salmoniformes; Salmonidae
Source: Ensembl